Molecule: ribosomal RNA, 254 nt
Filed under: uncultured bacterium
Lineage: Bacteria
Description: partial 16S ribosomal RNA
Rfam family: Bacterial small subunit ribosomal RNA
Source: RNAcentral
UACGGGGGGGGGCAAGCGUUGUUCGGAAUUACUGGGCGUAAAGGGCGCGUAGGCGGCCUGCUAAGUCGAACGUGAAAUCCCCGGGCUCAACCCGGGAACUGCGUCCGAUACUGGUUGGCUUGAAUCCGGGAGAGGGAUGCGGAAUUCCAGGUGUAGCGGUGAAAUGCGUAGAUAUCUGGAGGAAUACCGGUGGCGAAGGCGGCAUCCUGGACCGGCAUUGACGCUGAUGAGCGAAAGCUAGGGGAGCAAACGGG